GCGAGUGAAGCGGCAACAGCUCAAAUUUGAAAGCUGGCUCAGGCCCGCAUUGUAAUUUGCAGAGGAUGCUUUUGGUGAGGUGCCUUCCGAGUUCCCUGGAACGGGACGCCAUAGAGGGUGAGAGCCCCGUAUGGAUGGCCACCAAACCUGUGUGAAGCUCCUUCAACGAGUCGAGUAGUUUGGGAAUGCUGCUCUAAAUGGGAGGUAAAUCUCUUCUAAAGCUAAAUACCGGCCAGAGACCGAUAGCGCACAAGUAGAGUGAUCGAAAGAUGAAAAGCACCUUGAAAAGGGGGUUAAACAGUACGUGAAAUUGUUGAAAGGGAAGCGCUUGUGACCAGACUUGCGCCGGGCGGCUCAUCAGGGGUUCUCCCCUGUGCACUCUGCCCGGCUCAGGCCAGCAUCGGUUCUCGUGGGAGGAUAAGAACGGUAGGAACGUGGCCCCCUUCCGGGGGGGUGUUAUAGCCUACCGUACGAUACUCCCGUGGGGACCGAGGUUCGCGCUCCGCAAGGAUGC
Molecule: ribosomal RNA, 514 nt
Filed under: Cytospora sp. RM-2017f
Lineage: Eukaryota; Fungi; Ascomycota; Sordariomycetes; Diaporthales; Cytosporaceae
Description: eukaryotic LSU rRNA
Rfam family: Eukaryotic large subunit ribosomal RNA
Source: RNAcentral